UGUAAGCGUAUACCAAAGUUGUUGCAGUUAAAACGCUCGUAGUCGGAAUUUGGCAGUUACGGAUGUGUGCACGUCGUGUGCGCACUUCGCGGGGAUUGCUUUUGUGGUCUUGCGUAGGAUGAGGCACUUUUAUUAGUGAACGUCCUCACGCAACCACUUUUUACUGUGAGAAAAUCAGAGUGCUCAAAGCAGGCAUUUGCCGUGAAUGUAUUAGCAUGGAAUAAUAGAAUAGGACUUGGUUCUAUUUUGUUGGUUUGUUGGGACUGAGUAAUGAUUAAGAGGGACAGUUGGGGGCAUUUGUAUUUCGGUGCUAGAGGUGAAAUUCUUAGAUUACCGAAAGACAAACUGCUGCGAAAGCGUCUGCCAAGGAUGUUUUCAUUGA
Molecule: ribosomal RNA, 382 nt
Filed under: uncultured eukaryote
Lineage: Eukaryota
Description: partial 18S ribosomal RNA
Rfam family: Eukaryotic small subunit ribosomal RNA
Source: RNAcentral